Ixodes scapularis (black-legged tick) is the source of this 73-nucleotide non-coding RNA. NCBI's taxonomy places the organism in Eukaryota, Metazoa, Arthropoda, Arachnida, Ixodida, Ixodidae. The record is from Rfam.
UCCUGGUUAGCUCAGUUGGUAGAGCGCUCCACUGGAAACGUAGAGGUCCCUGGUACGAUAUCAGUACCAGGCG